GUGAGGAAUAUUGCGCAAUGCCCGCAAGGGUGACGCAGCAACGCCGCGUGUGGGAUGAAGGUCUUUUAGGUCGUAAACCACUGUAGAAGGGAAAAAAUAUCCCGAUUGUCGGGAUUGAUGGUACCCUUAAAGUAAGCCUCGGCUAACUACGUGCCAGCAGCCGCGGUAAUACGUAGGAGGCGAGCGUUGUCCGGAUUCACUGGGUGUAAAGGGUCCGCAGGCGGAUAGGUAAGUCGGUGGUGAAAUCCUUCAGCUUAACUGAAGAACUGCCUCCGAUACUGUCUAUCUUGAGUACAGAAGAGGGCGAUGGAAUUCCAGGUGUAGCGGUGAAAUGCGUAGAUAUCUGGAAGAACACCGGUUGCGAAGGCUGUUGCCUGGUCUGUUACUGACGCUCAUGGACGAAAGCGUGGGGAUCAAACAGGAUUAGAUACCCUAGUAGUCC
This 442-nucleotide ribosomal RNA is filed under the name uncultured bacterium. Its description in RNAcentral is "bacterial SSU rRNA". It matches the Rfam family "Bacterial small subunit ribosomal RNA", at positions 354 to 796 of the family's 1533-position model. The record is from RNAcentral.